This 463-nucleotide unclassified non-coding RNA is filed under the name Hevea brasiliensis (rubber tree). The record is from RNAcentral. Lineage: Eukaryota; Viridiplantae; Streptophyta; Magnoliopsida; Malpighiales; Euphorbiaceae.
AAUAUUGCUUUUUUUUUUUUCGUUGUUGUUGCAUUAGAAUUGCACAAGUUAGGGAGUUAAGGUCGUAAUUGGGGUUGCUUUUGCAGCUGCUUUUGGUAAAAGCAUCCCUUAGUGCUUUUAGGCAGUAUGUGGUUUUGUAAUAGCGUUGUCUUUUUUCUGUUUCUUAUUUGUUUGGUGACAAAUAAUUUGAUGGCCCAUGUGGAUAUAUGUGCCUCUUGGACUGAAGGUUGAUUUGCUUUCUCCCUUUUUAAUUUACAAUCCUCGUCUAUCCAAAUGAACCUUCAGCUGAUUCUCCUUGGCUGGAUUUGGGAAGGAAACUUUUAUUCAUUUGAUUUAUUGCAACUUUGCGUCCUUGUUCAUUUGUUUCUGAGGACAUGGGUUUGUUGUUGUUUCUAGUUCUGCUACUGCUACUUAUGGAAUCCAAAAGUUCUCUAUUGCUCACUUCUUUUCUGCUGAAUUGUUU